CGAUGGAUACUGGGCAGCUAGAGUGUGUCAGAGGAUGGUGGAAUUCCCGGUGUAGCGGUGAAAUGCGUAGAGAUCGGGAGGAACAUCAGUGGCGAAGGCGGCCAUCUGGGACAACACUGACGCUGAAGCACGAAAGCGUGGGGAGCAAACAGGAUUAGAUACCCUGGUAGUCCACGCCCUAAACGAUGCGAACUGGAUGUUGGUCUCAACUCGGAGAUCAGUGUCGAAGCUAACGCGUUAAGUUCGCCGCCUGGGGAGUACGGUCGCAAGACUGAAACUCAAAGGAAUUGACGGGGGCCCGCACAAGCGGUGGAGUAUGUGGUUUAAUUCGAUGCAACGCGAAGAACCUUACCUGGCCUUGACAUGUCCGGAAUCCUGCAGAGAUGCGGGAGUGCCUUCGGGAAUCGGAACACAGGUGCUGCAUGGCUGUCGUCAGCUCGUGUCGUGGGAUGUUGGGUUAAGUCCCGCAACGAGCGCAACCCUUGUCCUUAGUUGCCAGCGAGUAAUGUCGGGAACUCUAAGGAGACUGCCGGUGACAAACCGGAGGAAGGUGGGGAUGACGUCAAGUCCUCAUGGCCCUUACGGCCAGGGCUACACACGUACUACAAUGGUCGGUACAGAGGGUUGCGAUACCGCGAGGUGGAGCCAAUCCCAGAAAGCCGAUCCCAGUCCGGAUCGAAGUCUGCAACUCGACUUCGUGAAGUCGGAAUCGCUAGUAAUCGCGGAUCAGCUAUGCCGCGGUGAAUACGUUCCCGGGCCUUGUACACACCGCCCGUCACACCAUGGGAGUGGGUUGCUCCAGAAGGCGUUAGUCUAACCGCAAGGAGGACGACGCCCACGGAGUGGUUCAUGACUGGGGUGAAGUCGUAACAAGGUAACCGUA
RNAcentral lists this ribosomal RNA (883 nucleotides) under uncultured bacterium. RNAcentral's name for it is "bacterial SSU rRNA". It matches the Rfam family "Bacterial small subunit ribosomal RNA", at positions 624 to 1504 of the family's 1533-position model. The record is from RNAcentral.